This 301-nucleotide ribosomal RNA is filed under the name uncultured bacterium. RNAcentral's name for it is "partial 16S ribosomal RNA". It matches the Rfam family "Bacterial small subunit ribosomal RNA", at positions 509 to 807 of the family's 1533-position model. The record is from RNAcentral.
CAGUAGCCGCGGGAAUACGAAGGGGGCUAGCGUUGUUCGGAAUCACUUGGCGUAAAGGGUGCGUAGGCGGAUUCUUAAGUCAGGGGUGGAAUCCCGAGGCUCAACCUCGGAACUGCCUUUGAUACUGGGGAUCUUGAGUCCGGAAGAGGUGAGUGGAACUGCGAGUGUAGAGGUGAAAUUCGUAGAUAUUCGCAAGAACACCGGUGGCGAAGGCGGCUCACUGGUCCGGAACUGACGCUGAGGCACGACAGCGUGGGGAGCAAACAGGAUUAGAUACCCCAGUAGUCCCUGUCUCUUAUAC